CGGCAAUGGAGGAAACUCUGACCGAGCAACGCCGCGUGAACGAUGAAGUAUUUCGGUAUGUAAAGUUCUUUUAUUGAAGAAGAAAAAGUAGUGGAAAAACUAUAUUGACGUUAUUCAAUGAAUAAGCCCCGGCUAACUAUGUGCCAGCAGCCGCGGUAAGACAUAGGGGGCGAGCGUUAUCCGGAAUUAUUGGGCGUAAAGGGUGCGUAGGCUGUUAGAUAAGUCUAUAAUUUAAUUUCAGUGCUUAACGCUGUCUUGUUAUAGAAACUGUCUUGACUAGAGUGAGAUAGAGGCAAGCGGAAUUCCAUGUGUAGCGGUAAAAUGUGUAAAUAUAUGGAGGAACACCAGAAGCGUAGGCGGCUUGCUGGGUCUUUACUGACGCUGAGGCACGAAAGCGUGGGUAGCAAACAGGAUUAGAUACCCUGGUAGUCCACGCCGUAAACGAUGAGUACUAAGUGUCGGGGUAAAACUCGGUACUGAAGUUAACACAUUAAGUACUCCGCCUGAGUAGUACGUACGCAAGUAUGAAACUUAAAGGAAUUGACGGGACUCCGCACAAGCGGUGGAUCAUGUUGUUUAAUUCGAAGAUACACGAAAAAUCUUACCAGGUCUUGACAUACUCUGCAAAGCUAUAGAAAUAUAGUGGAGGUUAUCAGGGAUACAGGUGGUGCAUGGUUGUCGUCAGUUCGUGUCGUGAGAUGUUAGGUUAAGUCCUAAAACGAGCGCAACCCUUGUCGUUAAUUGCCAGCACGUAAUGGUGGGGACUUUAGCGAGACUGCCAAUUAAACAUUGGAGGAAGGUGAGGAUUACGUCAAAUCAUCAUGCCCCUUAUGAUCUGGGCUACAAACGUGAUACAAUGGCUGUGACAAAGAGUAGCUGAAA
Molecule: ribosomal RNA, 882 nt
Filed under: Candidatus Phytoplasma trifolii
Lineage: Bacteria; Bacillati; Mycoplasmatota; Mollicutes; Acholeplasmatales; Acholeplasmataceae
Description: bacterial SSU rRNA
Rfam family: Bacterial small subunit ribosomal RNA
Source: RNAcentral